CAUUCACUCAUUAGGAAGGAAAUUCGUACCUCGACUAGAUCAAUGAGUUCUAUUACAAAACCACUUAAGUUUCUCCGCCCAUAUUAUGGAACAUUAGAUACUUUCUAACAAAGGAAGAUUCAGAGUUGAAGAAAUGCCUAGCCGACACACUUUUCGUUUUGGAAGAUUCAGAGUUCAAGUGCAGAAAUACCUAGCUGACACACUUUCCGUUUUGGCAUUAACAACGUCUGUCGAAGUAAAAGGGGUAGGUGAAAGCUUCACAGUUUACUCUUUGUUUUUGCAGUCACAGUUUGAAGUUUAAUAAGGGAUAACCUUGAAUUAUAAUUAUAACAAUAUAUGAAGUUAUAAGGCAUGUUUUUCAUUUAAGGGUCAUUCUAAUCUGGCUACUGGCAUAGUUUUCUACUAAAAUACCUGAUUAAAUAGCUCGAACAAUUGAACUGGUUUGUGUUUGUUCAUUUUGCAUGUUCUGCGUCUGCCGGAGAAACUAAAUAAUUUGUUCUCCGGUUGGGUGAGAGUAGUUAGGAGCUGGGCAGAUAUACAAAGAGCCUAAAGGCUUUAUCUAUUAUGGUUCUGGGAAGUUACCCUUUCAUAGCUAAGCUAUCAGGACCCAACUUUUCCUUGUGAAUAAAUAUUGCAUCUCUUCUGAAGAGUUUUUUUAAUCGACUUCUAUUUUCACUGAGUUUGUCAUCCUACAAAAUACCACAUUAGUUUUAAACUCGGGUCUGCGAAACAUAUAGCAGAAGCAAUAGUGAAGAAGGACGGUGUUGCAAGGUUGACUUCUGUAGUUAAAGGACUAGCUGUGCUGAAAACAACCCAGAUAAGUCAUGCGCCGUGCUCAGGGGUGUGUUAUACUUGACAAACACGGGGGUCACAGCAAAGGAAAGGGUUACUUGUUGAAGGCGGAUUCGAUUAUAUGAAAGUGUCAUUUGUAUCAAAGCUCAACAAAGAAGUUUGAGAGAUGGGGAUUGAGAAAAAUAAAUAAUGUACAAGCUCUGCGCGGACUCAGGUUUUAAACUUGGGUUUGCGGAAUAUACAUCAGAAGCAAUAGUGAUCUUCAAGGAAGCAUUGGUACUUGGAUUUCGAAUCUCCAAUAAGAUCAGACCCCAACAAGAAUGCUUAUGAAGAUCCAUUUGUCUUCACUGGAACUGCGAAUGAAGCUCCUCAAUUUCGGCAACUGUUGGAGAUUAUGAGUAUUGGGACGGAGAUAUUCAGGUAAUAAUGUUGGUUUCUAACACUUGUUUAGUGGCUUUUCUUGUAAGAUUUACAUU
Papaver somniferum (opium poppy) is the source of this 1268-nucleotide long non-coding RNA. RefSeq lists it as uncharacterized. The record is from RefSeq and is a predicted model, not a curated record. Lineage: Eukaryota; Viridiplantae; Streptophyta; Magnoliopsida; Ranunculales; Papaveraceae. The transcript has 11 exons.